RNAcentral lists this ribosomal RNA (253 nucleotides) under uncultured bacterium. RNAcentral describes it as "partial 16S ribosomal RNA". It matches the Rfam family "Archaeal small subunit ribosomal RNA", at positions 474 to 727 of the family's 1478-position model. The record is from RNAcentral.
UACCUGCACCCCGAGUGGUCGGGACGAUUAUUGGGCCUAAAGCAUCCGUAGCCGGUUCUACAAGUCUUCCGUUAAAUCCACCUGCUUAACAGAUGGGCUGCGGAGGAUACUAUAGAGCUAGGAGGCGGGAGAGGCAAGCGGUACUUAGUGGGUAGGGGUAAAAUCCGUUGAUCCAUUGAAGACCACCAGUGGCGAAGGCGGCUUGCCAGAACGCACUCGACGGUGAGGGAUGAAAGCUGGGGGAGCAAACCGG